GGACAGAAGGGAGCUUGCUCCCGGAUGUUAGCGGCGGACGGGUGAGUAACACGUGGGUAACCUGCCUGUAAGACUGGGAUAACUCCGGGAAACCGGAGCUAAUACCGGAUAGUUCCUUGAACCGCAUGGUUCAAGGAUGAAAGACGGUUUCGGCUGUCACUUACAGAUGGACCCGCGGCGCAUUAGCUAGUUGGUGGGGUAAUGGCUCACCAAGGCGACGAUGCGUAGCCGACCUGAGAGGGUGAUCGGCCACACUGGGACUGAGACACGGCCCAGACUCCUACGGGAGGCAGCAGUAGGGAAUCUUCCGCAAUGGACGAAAGUCUGACGGAGCAACGCCGCGUGAGUGAUGAAGGUUUUCGGAUCGUAAAGCUCUGUUGUUAGGGAAGAACAAGUGCGAGAGUAACUGCUCGCACCUUGACGGUACCUAACCAGAAAGCCACGGCUAACUACGUGCCAGCAGCGCGGUAAUACGUAGGUGGCAAGCGUUGUCCGGAAUUAUUGGGCGUAAAGGGCUCGCAGGCGGUUUCUUAAGUCUGAUGUGAAAGCCCCCGGCUCAACCGGGGAGGGUCAUUGGAAACUGGGAAACUUGAGUGCAGAAGAGGAGAGUGGAAUUCCACGUGUAGCGGUGAAAUGCGUAGAGAUGUGGAGGAACACCAGUGGCGAAGGCGACUCUCUGGUCUGUAACUGACGCUGAGGAGCGAAAGCGUGGGGAGCGAACAGGAUUAGAUACCCUGGUAGUCCACGCCGUAAACGAUGAGUGCUAAGUGUUAGGGGUUUCCGCCCCUUAGUGCUGCAGCUAACGCAUUAAGCACUCCGCCUGGGGAGUACGGUCGCAGACUGAAACUCAAGGAAUUGACGGGGGCCCGCACAAGCGGUGGAGCAUGUGUUUAAUUCGAAGCAACGCGAAGAACCUUACCAGGUCUUG
RNAcentral lists this ribosomal RNA (928 nucleotides) under Bacillus pumilus. RNAcentral's name for it is "bacterial SSU rRNA". It matches the Rfam family "Bacterial small subunit ribosomal RNA", at positions 66 to 983 of the family's 1533-position model. The record is from RNAcentral. Lineage: Bacteria; Bacillati; Bacillota; Bacilli; Caryophanales; Bacillaceae.